GACGAACGCUGGCGGCGUGCUUAACACAUGCAAGUCGAACGGAAAGGCCCUGCUUUUGUGGGGUGCUCGAGUGGCGAACGGGUGAGUAACACGUGAGUAACCUGCCCUUGACUUUGGGAUAACUUCAGGAAACUGGGGCUAAUACCGGAUAGGAGCUCCUGCUGCAUGGUGGGGGUUGGAAAGUUUCGGCGGUUGGGGAUGGACUCGCGGCUUAUCAGCUUGUUGGUGGGGUAGUGGCUUACCAAGGCUUUGACGGGUAGCCGGCCCGAGAGGGUGACCGGCCACAUUGGGACUGAGAUACGGCCCAGACUCCUACGGGAGGCAGCAGUGGGGAAUAUUGCACAAUGGGCGGAAGCCUGAUGCAGCAAAGCCGCGUGCGGGAUGACGGCCUUCGGGUUGUAAACCGCUUUCGCCUGUGACGAAGCGUGAGUGACGGUAAUGGGUAAAGAAGCACCGGCUAACUACGUG
This 468-nucleotide ribosomal RNA is filed under the name uncultured bacterium. Its description in RNAcentral is "partial 16S ribosomal RNA". It matches the Rfam family "Bacterial small subunit ribosomal RNA", at positions 28 to 507 of the family's 1533-position model. The record is from RNAcentral.